RNAcentral lists this ribosomal RNA (32 nucleotides) under Leptogium sp. RNAcentral describes it as "partial 18S ribosomal RNA". The record is from RNAcentral. Lineage: Eukaryota; Fungi; Ascomycota; Lecanoromycetes; Peltigerales; Collemataceae.
UCGCUGUAGGUGAACSUGCAGCGGGAUCAUUA